ACCCGUCUUGAAACACGGACCAAGGAGUCUAACAUAUGUGCAAGUUUGUAGGUUGAAAGUGAAACCUAAAAGCGUAAUAAAAGUAAAAGCCGUUUUUAGCGGCGAAAUACGAUCUUUGUUUCUGUAAACGGAUUGGCGAAGUAUUGUCCCAUCUAUGCGGUUCGUCCGCUAGGUGGAGAAAGAGCACAAAUGUUGGGACCCGAAAGAUGGUGAACUAUGCUUGAGCAGAACGAAGCCAGAGGAAACUCUGGUGGAGGUUCGUAGCGGUUCUGACGUGCAAAUCGAUCGUCAGACUUGAGUAUAGGGGCGAAAGACUAAUCGAACCAUCUAGUAGCUGGUUCCUUCCGAAG
RNAcentral lists this ribosomal RNA (350 nucleotides) under Agamermis sp. m IS Warangal. RNAcentral describes it as "partial large subunit ribosomal RNA". It matches the Rfam family "Eukaryotic large subunit ribosomal RNA", at positions 647 to 966 of the family's 3401-position model. The record is from RNAcentral. Lineage: Eukaryota; Metazoa; Nematoda; Enoplea; Mermithida; Mermithidae.